Molecule: non-coding RNA, 403 nt
Organism: Kogia breviceps (pygmy sperm whale)
Lineage: Eukaryota; Metazoa; Chordata; Mammalia; Artiodactyla; Physeteridae
Source: RefSeq, a predicted model, not a curated record
CCUUCAUCUAGGUUUCCACCAUGUCUCUUGCACCCCUUAUUUGCAGAGCCUAACAGAAAGCUAGAAAAAAAAGAAAUGUACUUUGUGAGGUCCCAGCCCCAGCAUGACAAAGCAGAUUACAGGACAUACAGAGGGUGGGUUUGAAGCUGAAAGACAAGAGCUUAGUAACCAGCACAGCCCAUCUCUUUGGCCAGUCAUCCUUCUAUCCAUAAUUGAAUUUCUAUACAAUAAACAUAGCCCUGUGGUUCUCUUAAGAGGUAACUAUUGUCUGUACAAAUAAAGAUGUUCUUACCUUCUCUCCAGAAUGAGGAAAACACAGUCUCAGCUCCUCAGAUUUAGUACAGUACCAUUACUUAUUCUGUUGCCUAAUGACUAGCCCCAACCACCAAGGUUUUGUGUGUGU